ACUUACCUGGCAGGGAGAUACCAUGAUCACGAAGGUGUUUUCUCUCCAGGGCGUGGUCUAUCCAUUGAGGCGCACUCCGUGGAUGCUGACCCCUGCGAUUUCCUCCAAAUGCGGGAAACUCGACUGCAUAAUUUGUGGUAGUGCGGGGGACUGUUCGCGCUCCUCUCG
This 168-nucleotide small nuclear RNA is filed under the name Rattus norvegicus (Norway rat). Its description in RNAcentral is "U1 spliceosomal RNA". It matches the Rfam family "U1 spliceosomal RNA". From Rfam's summary of the family: U1 is a small nuclear RNA (snRNA) component of the spliceosome (involved in pre-mRNA splicing). Its 5' end forms complementary base pairs with the 5' splice junction, thus defining the 5' donor site of an intron. The record is from Rfam by way of RNAcentral. Lineage: Eukaryota; Metazoa; Chordata; Mammalia; Rodentia; Muridae.